Molecule: ribosomal RNA, 488 nt
Filed under: uncultured bacterium
Lineage: Bacteria
Description: partial 16S ribosomal RNA
Rfam family: Bacterial small subunit ribosomal RNA
Source: RNAcentral
AUUGAACGCUGGCGGCAUGCUUUACACAUGCAAGUCGAACGGCAGCACAGGGAGCUUGCUCCUGGGUGGCGAGUGGCGAACGGGUGCGUAAUGUAUCGGAACGUGCCUGGUGGGGGGGAAUAACUAGUAAAAGUGGGGACUACUGCAUGAUGGGAUCGUUUGAUAAAGGGGGGGGACCUGGGGUCGUGGUACUGGAGAGGCCGCCGAUAUCAGAGUGGGUUGUUGGUGGGGUAAAGGCCUACCAAGCCUGCGAUCUGUAGCUGGUCUGAGAGGACGACCAGCCACACUGGGACUGAGACACGGCCCAGACUCCUACGGGAGGCAGCAGUGGGGAAUUUUGGACAAUGGGCGCAAGCCUGAUCCAGCAAUGCCGCGUGCAGGACGAAGGCCUUCGGGUUGUAAACUGCUUUUGUACAGAACGAAAAGUCUCUGGCUAAUAUCUAGAGAUCAUGACGGUACUGUAAGAAUAAGCACCGGCUAACUACGUG